Molecule: long non-coding RNA, 301 nt
Filed under: Carica papaya (papaya)
Lineage: Eukaryota; Viridiplantae; Streptophyta; Magnoliopsida; Brassicales; Caricaceae
Description: long non-coding RNA (CPAP_LNC010246)
Source: RNAcentral
AUAAUUACAAAUCCCUAAUAGGGUCUAUGAUGAUCAACAGACUCCUCAAGUUGCCAAAAAUAUGAAUUUAAGCCAACAAUGCAUAAAUCAUCCCUUGUGCACCUAUUAGCCACCGUUUUAAUGACAAUAUGCAAUUAAAAUAGUCAUUUGUGCAUACACUAGCAAUGUCAACCACUUGUAUCCCCUUUUAGCCUUUCCAAAAUGGUCAAGUUCACAUGAAAUAUAAGAUCUUUCUAAAUGAAAACCAUGGUUCUGGACGGAUAACUAAUAACGGUGUAUCUAAUUAUACUACAUCUUCUUU